GAUGAACGCUGGCGGCGUGCCUAAUACAUGCAAGUCGAGCGAACGGACGAUAAGCUUGCUUCUCUGAUGUUAGCGGCGGACGGGUGAGUAACACGUGGAUAACCUACCUAUAAGACUGGGAUAACUUCGGGAAACCGGAGCUAAUACCGGCUAAUAUUUUGAACCGCAUGGUUCAAAAGUGAAAGACGGUCUUGCUGUCACUUAUAGAUGGAUCCGCGCUGCAUUAGCUAGUUGGUAAGGUAACGGCUUACCAAGGCAACGAUGCAUAGCCGACCUGAGAGGGUGAUCGGCCACACUGGAACUGAGACACGGUCCAGACUCCUACGGGAGGCAGCAGUAGGAAAUCUUCCGCAAUGGGCGAAAGCCUGACGGAGCAACGCCGCGUGAGUGAUGAAGGUCUUCGGAUCGUAAAACUCUGUUAUUAGGGAAGAACAUAUGUGUAAGUAACUGUGCACAUCUUGACGGUACCUAAUCAGAAAGCCACGGCUAACUACGUG
Molecule: ribosomal RNA, 497 nt
Filed under: uncultured bacterium
Lineage: Bacteria
Description: partial 16S ribosomal RNA
Rfam family: Bacterial small subunit ribosomal RNA
Source: RNAcentral